RNAcentral lists this ribosomal RNA (393 nucleotides) under uncultured bacterium. RNAcentral's name for it is "partial 16S ribosomal RNA". It matches the Rfam family "Bacterial small subunit ribosomal RNA", at positions 523 to 918 of the family's 1533-position model. The record is from RNAcentral.
AUACGGAGGAUGCGAGCGUUAUCCGGAUUUAUUGGGUUUAAAGGGAGCGUAGGUGGGAUAUUAAGUCAGCUGUGAAAGUUUGGGGCUCAACCUUAAAAUUGCAGUUGAUACUGGUUUCCUUGAGUACGGUACAGGUGGGCGGAAUUCGUGGUGUAGCGGUGAAAUGCUUAGAUAUCACGAAGAACUCCGAUCGCGAAGGCAGCUCACCGGGCCGGAACUGACACUGAUGCUCGAAAGUGCGGGUAUCAAACAGGAUUAGAUACCCUGGUAGUCCGCACAGUAAACGAUGAAUACUCGCUGUUUGCGAUACACUGUAAGCGGCCAAGCGAAAGCGUUAAGUAUUCCACCUGAGGAGUACGCCGGCAACGGUGAAACUCAAAUGAAUUGGCGGGG